RNAcentral lists this ribosomal RNA (396 nucleotides) under uncultured bacterium. RNAcentral describes it as "bacterial SSU rRNA". It matches the Rfam family "Bacterial small subunit ribosomal RNA", at positions 32 to 409 of the family's 1533-position model. The record is from RNAcentral.
AAUCAACGCUGGCGGCGUGCCUCAGACAUGCAAGUCGAACGCGAAAGUCCCCUUCGGGGGACAAGUAGAGUGGCGCACGGGUGAGUAACACGUAGGUAAUCUACCUUCGGAUGGGGAAUAACAACCGGAAACGGUUGCUAAUACCGCAUAAUGCAGCGGCACCUAAUGGUGACAGUUGUUAAAGCGGGGGAUCGAAAGACCUCGCGUCUGAAGAGGAGCCUGCGGCGGAUUAGCAGUUGGUAAGGUAACGGCUUACCAAGGCGACGAUCCGUAGCCGGCCUGAGAGGGCGGUCGGCCACACUGACACUGACAUACGGGUCAGACUCCUACGGGAGGCAGCAGUCGGGAAUUUGGGCAAUGGGCGAAAGCCUGACCCAGCAACGCCGCGUGAAGGAU